Molecule: ribosomal RNA, 433 nt
Filed under: uncultured bacterium
Lineage: Bacteria
Description: bacterial SSU rRNA
Rfam family: Bacterial small subunit ribosomal RNA
Source: RNAcentral
GGGCCCGCACAAGCGGUGGAGUAUGUGGUUUAAUUCGAUGCAACGCGAAGAACCUUACCAGGGUUUGACAUCCUGCGAAUCUCUUGGAAACAGGAGAGUGCCUUCGGGAACGCAGUGACAGGUGGUGCAUGGCUGUCGUCAGCUCGUGCCGUGAGGUGUCAGGUUAAGUCCUAUAACGAGCGCAACCCCUGUUGUUAGUUGCCAGCGAGUCAUGUCGGGAACUCUAACAAGACUGCCGGUGCAAACCGUGAGGAAGGUGUGGAUGACGUCAAGUCAUCAUGCCCCUUACAUCCUGGGCUACACACGUACUACAAUGCUACGGACAAAGGGCAGCAAGUUCGCGAGGACAAGCAAAUCCCAUAAACCGUGGCUCAGUUCAGAUCGUAGGCUGCAACUCGCCUACGUGAAGGCGGAAUCGCUAGUAAUCGCAGGU